CCUACGGGGGGCAGCAGUGGGGAAUCUUGGACAAUGGGCGCAAGCCUGAUCCAGCCAUGCCGCGUGAGUGAUGAAGGCCUUAGGGUCGUAAAGCUCUUUCGCCUGUGAAGAUAAUGACUGUAGCAGGUAAAGAAACCCCGGCUAACUCCGUGCCAGCAGCCGCGGUAAUACGGAGGGGGUUAGCGUUGUUCGGAAUUACUGGGCGUAAAGCGCGCGUAGGCGGACUGGAAAGUUGGGGGUGAAAUCCCAGGGCUCAACCCUGGAACUGCCUCCAAAACUAUCAGUCUAGAGUUCGAGAGAGGUGAGUGGAAUUCCGAGUGUAGAGGUGAAAUUCGUAGAUAUUCGGAGGAACACCAGUGGCGAAGGCGGCUCACUGGCUCGAUACUGACGCUGAGGUGCGAAAGUGUGGGGAGCAAACAGGAUUAGAUACCCGAGUAGUC
RNAcentral lists this ribosomal RNA (440 nucleotides) under uncultured bacterium. Its description in RNAcentral is "bacterial SSU rRNA". It matches the Rfam family "Bacterial small subunit ribosomal RNA", at positions 338 to 795 of the family's 1533-position model. The record is from RNAcentral.